UAACUCUGGUUUCCCUUCAAACGCCUUAAUCUUUGCCUUUUACAAAAAUUUCCGGGAGGGGAACAACCAAUGGUCUUACUCAAAUUUUUUUUAUAGCCCCCUUCGGUGGGUUCA
This is a small nuclear RNA of Penaeus chinensis, 114 nucleotides long. RefSeq annotates it as U5 spliceosomal RNA. Lineage: Eukaryota; Metazoa; Arthropoda; Malacostraca; Decapoda; Penaeidae. The record is from RefSeq and is a predicted model, not a curated record. The transcript has a single exon.